GGGCCCGUAGCUUAGCCUGGCUGGAGCGUUCGACUGAUAAUCGAAAGGUCGGGAGUUCAAAUCUCCCCGGGCCCA
RNAcentral lists this transfer RNA (75 nucleotides) under Microcaldota archaeon. Its description in RNAcentral is "tRNA-Ile". It matches the Rfam family "tRNA". Rfam says of the family: Transfer RNA (tRNA) molecules are approximately 80 nucleotides in length. Their secondary structure includes four short double-helical elements and three loops (D, anti-codon, and T loops). Further hydrogen bonds mediate the characteristic L-shaped molecular structure. tRNAs have two regions of fundamental functional importance: the anti-codon, which is responsible for specific mRNA codon recognition, and the 3' end, to which the tRNAs corresponding amino acid is attached (by aminoacyl-tRNA synthetases). tRNAs cope with the degeneracy of the genetic code in two manners: having more than one tRNA (with a specific anti-codon) for a particular amino acid; and 'wobble' base-pairing, i.e. permitting non-standard base-pairing at the 3rd anti-codon position. Lineage: Archaea; Nanobdellati; Microcaldota. The record is from RNAcentral.